RNAcentral lists this ribosomal RNA (250 nucleotides) under uncultured prokaryote. RNAcentral describes it as "partial 16S ribosomal RNA". It matches the Rfam family "Bacterial small subunit ribosomal RNA", at positions 524 to 773 of the family's 1533-position model. The record is from RNAcentral.
UACAGAGGUCUCUAGCGUUGUUCGGAUUUACUGGGCGUAAAGGGCGCGUAGGCGGCGCGGCGUGUCGAGUGUGAAAUCUCCGGGCUCAACCCGGAAAGUGCGCUCGAAACUGCCAUGCUAGAGUACGGGAUGGGGAAUCGGAAUGCAGGGUGUAGCGGUGAAAUGCGUUGAUAUCCUGCAGAACACCGGAGGCGAAGGCGGAUUCCUGGAACGUUACUGACGCUGAGGCGCGAAAGUCGGGGGAGCAAAC